Molecule: ribosomal RNA, 586 nt
Filed under: uncultured bacterium
Lineage: Bacteria
Description: bacterial SSU rRNA
Rfam family: Bacterial small subunit ribosomal RNA
Source: RNAcentral
ACGGGUGAGUAAUGCAUCGGAACGUGCCCAGUAGUGGGGGAUAGCCCGGCGAAAGCCGGAUUAAUACCGCAUACGACCUACGGGUGAAAGGGGGGGAUCGCAAGACCUCUCGCUAUUGGAGCGGCCGAUGUCAGAUUAGGUAGUUGGUGGGGUAAAGGCCUACCAAGCCGACGAUCUGUAGCUGGUCUGAGAGGACGACCAGCCACACUGGGACUGAGACACGGCCCAGACUCCUACGGGAGGCAGCAGUGGGGAAUUUUGGACAAUGGGCGCAAGCCUGAUCCAGCCAUGCCGCGUGCGGGAAGAAGGCCUUCGGGUUGUAAACCGCUUUUGUCAGGGAAGAAAUCUUCUGAAUUAAUACCUCGGGAGGAUGACGGUACCUGAAGAAUAAGCACCGGCUAACUACGUGCCAGCAGCCGCGGUAAUACGUAGGGUGCAAGCGUUAAUCGGAAUUACUGGACGUAAAGCGUGCGCAGGCGGUUGUGCAAGACAGGUGUGAAAUCCCCGGGCUUAACCUGGGAACUGCACUUGUGACUGCACAGCUAGAGUACGGCAGAGGGGGAUGGAAUUCCGCGUGUAGCAGUGA